CAGCAUCCUGGGGUAAGCUGGGUUUAAUGGCUGCCCCAGCAUCCUGGGAUGAGAUGGGCUUAACAGGGUGCCCCAGCAUCCUGGGGUAAGCUGGGUUCAAAGGGGUGCCCCAGUGUCCUGGGGUAAUCUUGGUUUAAAGGGCUGCCUCAGUGUCCUGGGCCUCAGCAUCCUGGAGUAAACUGGGCCUGGGGUCUGCCCCAACAUCCUGGGGUAAGCUGGGUUCAAAGGGCUGCCUCAGUGUCCUGGGCCUCAGCAAUCUGGAGUAAACUGGGCCUGGGGUCUGCCCCAGCAUCCUGGGCACGUGGACAGGCCCGGCCUGGAGCCCGGCCCAGAGCAUCUCGUCGGUGCUGAUCUCCAUCCAGUCGCUGAUGACCGAGAACCCGUACCACAACGAGCCCGGCUUCGAGCAGGUCAGACUGGGCUGGGACUGGGACUGGGACGGGCUGGGAUUGCAGGCUGGAAAUGGGAUUAUAGCCUGGGAUUGACUGGGAACCCAGCCUGGAACUGGGAUUGCAGGCUGGGACUGGGAUUGCAGCCUGGGACUGGGAUUAUAGCCUGAAACUGGGAUUAUAGCCUGGGACUGGGAUUGCAGCCUGGAACUGGGAUUGCAGCCUGGGACUAGGAUUGCAGCCUGGGACUGGGAUUAUAGCCUGGAACUGGGAUUAUAGCCUGGGACUGACUGGGAUACGGGCUGGGAAUGACUGGGAACCCAGCCUGGAACUGGGAUUACAACCUGGGACUGACUGGGAUUGCCAUCUGGGACUAACUGGGAACCCAGCCUAGAACUGGGAUUGCAGGCUGGGACUGGGAUUGCAGACUGGGACUGACUGGGAUUGCAGGCUGGGAUUGACUGGGGUUCCAGGCUGGGACUGACUGGGAACCCAGCCUGGAACUGGGAUUACAGCCUGGAACUAACUGGGAUUGCAGGCUGGGACUGGGAUUAUAGCCUGGGAUUGACUGGGAUACAGGAUGGGAAUGACUGGGAACCCAGCCUGGAACUGGGAUUACAGGCUGGGACUGACUGGGAUUACAACCUGGGACUGACUGGGGUUCCAGGCUGGGAAUCACUGGGAGCCCAUCCUAGAACUGGGAUUAUAGCCUGAGGCUGACUGGAAUUCCAGCCUAAAACUAACUGGGAUUGCAGGCUGGGACUGACUGGGAAGCCAGUUUGGAACUGGGAUUACAGCCUGGAACUAACUGGGAUUGCA
Molecule: long non-coding RNA, 1208 nt
Filed under: Zonotrichia albicollis (white-throated sparrow)
Lineage: Eukaryota; Metazoa; Chordata; Aves; Passeriformes; Passerellidae
Description: lncRNA (ENSZALG00000009805.1)
Source: RNAcentral